CAGCUUUGUGUCAUCGGUUAAUGUGAUAAGCAUGUCAUCUUUAUCCAAGUCAUUGUUAGGGAUGCACAGCGCAGGGCCCAGCACAAAUCCUUUAGGGAUUUCUCUGUAGAUCUCUGCCGAAUUGACAUUAAACCAUUAACAACUACACCUUAGAGCCCUGCCACUCAAUCAGCCCGAGCCGGGCAGUUCUCUAACCUGUAUUUUCCUUUCUUCCGAGAGUACCAUGAGAUACUUGAUCAAAGAAGCUUUAGCUUAUUGUUUUUCCCCAGCAUCUUGGCAAAGUUUGUUCAUAGCGCCAGCUCGAUAAUCAUGCCAAAACCAGGAAAACAGGCGAGUCGGGCACAGUUGUUUGCCCUUUGUAAACACCUUUUCUUUGAUGAUGGCUUAAAUGGCAGCAGAUGAACAGUCUGGAGUCACAGGCUUUACAUUUACUACUCGUGUGAUGUCGCCUCUCAGGGCCUUAGUUUCCUAACCAGCAAAAAGAGAAGGCUGGCGCUGGAUGAGCCCUGAAUUCUGCUUUCGCACUGAAUUACGAAUCACAGCACGGACCCUAUCAGGACAAGAAAUCCUUUUCCAAGGCGGUUCUUUUAAGUGUUUUCAAAUUUAAAACACUUGAGCGCAAUGCUGGCGGAAUUUCUAGAUUCCCCCGCUAAGGACCCCUAAGGCUCAGCACCCCCACACUUGAACCUUGGUGGGAGUCAUCCUCCGGUAGGGGUGACGUCAUGGAAGGUGACGUCACGGAGGGCCGCGAAUGCGAAGGAGACGGGAAGCUGAACGCUACACUCCCCCCCCCCUCCACUCCCCGACACUUCCGGCGGACCCUCAAGAAGUACGAAGGCUUACGUGCUCAACCGCACGCCUCCUCUCGGUCGCCGUCUGCCGUCACCACCUCUAGCCACGCGCGUAGAGUUCAUGAGUCAGUUUCUGUGUGUUCACAGUAAAGCCAUUGCUGGAAAGAAAUCACACACCUGGAAGGGAUCAUUGGUCCCACUCAAGAGUCAGAGCGCAAAAAGAGAAAUUGCUGACACAAGAAAUUCUGCUUUUACAUGGUACCUUGUGAAGAAAACACUUUAUAAAUUCUUGGGUGAUUUCCAAACCACCUGCAGUUCUGAAUUAGAAGAGACCUCAGUGAUUUCUGCUCUGAUCUACUCUUAAACCAGAACCAGAACCCGCUCCUACUCCACAACAUGCUAGGUAAGAGGUUAUUCAAUCUGUGCAGGAAAACAUCCAAUAAGAGGGAAUUGACCACUGUCA
RNAcentral lists this long non-coding RNA (1254 nucleotides) under Sarcophilus harrisii (Tasmanian devil). RNAcentral describes it as "lncRNA (ENSSHAG00000028058.1)". The record is from RNAcentral. Lineage: Eukaryota; Metazoa; Chordata; Mammalia; Dasyuromorphia; Dasyuridae.